Non-coding RNA from Pelobates cultripes (western spadefoot toad), 624 nucleotides. The record is from the annotation of a GenBank genome assembly. Lineage: Eukaryota; Metazoa; Chordata; Amphibia; Anura; Pelobatidae.
UGGGAGGCUGUCUGUGCAGUAUAUGCAGGGCUGUCUGUGCAGUAUAUUGGGGGGGUCUGCGAAGUAUAAUGGGGGGUCUGCGCAGUAUAUUGGGGGUCUGUGAAGUAUAUUGGGGUGGCCUGUGUGUUAGAUGGAGGGGCUGUUCGUUACAUGUGAGGGGGCAGUGUAUUAUAUUUGGGGGCUGUGCGUUAUAUGGGGAGCUGUACAGUACUUGUGGCCUGUGUGUUAGAUGUGUACAACCCUAGUUUCACAGAAAAAUAUUUAUUUCCUAGAUAUCAAAUGCCAUGGCAUGCUUUUUGCUAUGAAACCGCAGCCAUCUAGUCACUCGCCAGAGAAGGAUGAGAAACUGCACCCCCACCCCAGCGAGAGGGACUGCCCCACAUCUGCAACCAAAUCCGUCGGUCACCAAAUUCAGUAAUCUCCGUCUCUUUGUGCAUUGUGUAUGUAUGGUACUCCCAAUUCUUAUAUUUAAUCCAGUGUGUCUCCCACAAUCUUUGUGUCUGUCUGCUGUAUGUAUGUGGCACGCAAGUCUGCAUGCACUGUGUCUGUUAUGCCAGUUACUCUAACCAGUUUAUUUAUUUUUGUGUGUGUCACAGCUCUGACAAGCAUGUUCUCCUACGGGAC